This 423-nucleotide ribosomal RNA is filed under the name bacterium. Its description in RNAcentral is "partial 16S ribosomal RNA". It matches the Rfam family "Bacterial small subunit ribosomal RNA", at positions 355 to 776 of the family's 1533-position model. The record is from RNAcentral.
UGAGGAAUAUUGGUCAAUGGACGCAAGUCUGAACCAGCCAAGUAGCGUGCAGGAUGACGGCCCUCCGGGUUGUAAACUGCUUUUAGUUGGGAAUAAAAAGAGGGACGUGUCCCUCAUUGUAUGUACCUUCAGAAAAAGGACCGGCUAAUUCCGUGCCAGCAGCCGCGGUAAUACGGAAGGUCCAGGCGUUAUCCGGAUUUAUUGGGUUUAAAGGGAGCGUAGGCGGAUUAUUAAGUCAGUGGUGAAAGACGGUGGCUCAACCAUCGUUAGCCAUUGAAACUGGUAGUCUUGAGUGCAGACAGGGAUGCUGGAACUCGUGGUGUAGCGGAGAAAUGCUUAGAUAUCACGAUGAACUCCGAUCGCGAAGGCAGGUGUCCGGGCUGCAACUGACGCUGAGGCUCGAAAGUGUGGGUAUCAAACAGG